AACGCAUAUUGCGCUCUUUGGUAUUCCGAAGAGCAUGCUUGUUUGAGUAUCAGUAAACACCUCAAAGACAUUUCUGAUUUAUUUUCUGGAAUGGCUUUGGACUUGAGCAAUCCCAACACCAGUCGUUUACGAUCGGCGGAGGGUUGCUUGAAAUGCAGGUGCAGCUGGACAUUCUCCUGAGCUAUAAGCAUAUCUAUUUAGUCCCGUCAAACGGAUUAUUACUUUUGCUGCAGCUAACAUAAAGGGAGUCUGACCGUAUUGGCUGACUGAUGCAGGAUUUCACAAGGGUUGGAAACGACUCUUGUAAAACUCGAUCUCAAAUCAAGUAAGACUACCCGCUGAACUUAA
This 348-nucleotide unclassified non-coding RNA is filed under the name Mortierella sp. RNAcentral's name for it is "partial contains 5.8S ribosomal RNA, internal transcribed spacer 2, and large subunit ribosomal RNA". Lineage: Eukaryota; Fungi; Mortierellomycota; Mortierellomycetes; Mortierellales; Mortierellaceae. The record is from RNAcentral. RNAcentral also lists the same sequence under 2 other names.